GAGUGAAAUCCGUUGAUAUCGUGCGGAACACCAAAGGCGAAGGCAGCUCACUGGUGCGACCCKGACGCUGAGGGAUGAAAGCGUGGGGAGAGAAUGGGAUUAGAUACCCCAGUAUUCCACGCKGUAAACGAUGGAUACUAGCUGUGUGUAGUGUCGACCCUACGSGKGGSGAAGCUAUCGCGUUAAGUAUCCSGCCKGGSUAGUA
RNAcentral lists this ribosomal RNA (205 nucleotides) under uncultured bacterium. Its description in RNAcentral is "partial 16S ribosomal RNA". It matches the Rfam family "Bacterial small subunit ribosomal RNA", at positions 679 to 882 of the family's 1533-position model. The record is from RNAcentral.